CCGCCGGCGACCGGCGCACGGGUGAGUAACACGUAUGCAACUUGGCCGUGACAGAUGGAUAACCGGGAGAAAUCCCGCCUAAUACAACAUAAUGCCGGGAGGGGACAUCCCCUGCCGGCCAAAGGGGGCGACCCCGGUCACGGAUGGGCAUGCGGCGCAUUAGGUAGUUGGUGGGGCAACGGCCCACCAAGCCGACGAUGCGUAGGGGUUCUGAGAGGAAGGUCCCCCACAUUGGAACUGAGACACGGUCCAAACUCCUACGGGAGGCAGCAG
RNAcentral lists this ribosomal RNA (273 nucleotides) under uncultured bacterium. Its description in RNAcentral is "partial 16S ribosomal RNA". It matches the Rfam family "Bacterial small subunit ribosomal RNA", at positions 85 to 354 of the family's 1533-position model. The record is from RNAcentral.